RNAcentral lists this ribosomal RNA (475 nucleotides) under Pasteurellaceae bacterium canine oral taxon 271. RNAcentral describes it as "bacterial SSU rRNA". It matches the Rfam family "Bacterial small subunit ribosomal RNA", at positions 9 to 473 of the family's 1533-position model. The record is from RNAcentral. Lineage: Bacteria; Pseudomonadati; Pseudomonadota; Gammaproteobacteria; Pasteurellales; Pasteurellaceae.
GAGUUUGAUCAUGGCUCAGAUUGAACGCUGGCGGCAGGCUUAACACAUGCAAGUCGAACGGUAGCAGGAGAAAGCUUGCUUUCUUGCUGACGAGUGGCGGACGGGUGAGUAAUGCUUGGGAAUCUGGCUUAUGGAGGGGGAUAACUACGGGAAACUGUAGCUAAUACCGCGUAAUAUCUUCGGAUUAAAGAAUGGGACGAUUUUGCCAUUCGCCAUAAGAUGAGCCCAAGUGGGAUUAGGUAGUUGGUGGGGUAAAGGCCUACCAAGCCGACGAUCUCUAGCUGGUCUGAGAGGAUGACCAGCCACACUGGAACUGAGACACGGUCCAGACUCCUACGGGAGGCAGCAGUGGGGAAUAUUGCGCAAUGGGGGCAACCCUGACGCAGCCAUGCCGCGUGAAUGAAGAAGGCCUUCGGGUUGUAAAGUUCUUUCGGUGGUGAGGAAGGCUUAAGUGUUAAUAGCACUUAGGAUUGAC